This 348-nucleotide ribosomal RNA is filed under the name uncultured eukaryote. RNAcentral describes it as "SSU rRNA". It matches the Rfam family "Eukaryotic small subunit ribosomal RNA", at positions 594 to 945 of the family's 1831-position model. The record is from RNAcentral.
AUAGCGUAUAUUAAAGUUGUUGCCGUUAAAAAGCUCGUAGUCGAACUUCGGUCCCUGUUGGUCGGUCCGCCUUCUUGGUGUGUACUUACUCAACGGGGACUUACCUCCUGGUGAGCUGCGAUGUCCUUUACUGGGUGUCGUAGGGAACCAGGACGUUUACUUUGAAAAAAUUAGAGUGUUCAAAGCAGGCCUACGCCCGAAUACAUUAGCAUGGAAUAAUAGAAUAGGACGCGCGUUCCCAUUUUGUUGGUUUCUGAGAUCGCCGUAAUGAUUAAUAGGGAUAGUUGGGGGCAUUUGUAUUCCGGCGUCAGAGGUGAAAUUCUUGGAUUGCCGGAAGACAAACUACUG